RNAcentral lists this long non-coding RNA (218 nucleotides) under Lathyrus oleraceus (garden pea). Its description in RNAcentral is "Pisum sativum (pea) long non-coding RNA (PSAT_LNC023871)". Lineage: Eukaryota; Viridiplantae; Streptophyta; Magnoliopsida; Fabales; Fabaceae. The record is from RNAcentral.
AAUUCACAUGUUGAAGUGGGGAGGUGUGUGCCAUGCAAAAGGGUACAGGCAAUGAAUUGGGAUGGGUUAGGCCCAAAUGGCCCAAACGCUAGACCAAAGGAUAGAAAACCCUAAGUUUGACCCAUUUGCCUCAUUGUUUCGUUCGACCCCUCUCUACCUUCUUCAUCUCUACAAAUCUUUCCCUCACCCAUCACCUUGUCAGAGGCGGUAAUGUCGAC